GCCGAUGUGGCUCAGGGGUAGAGCAGCGCACUCGUAAUGCGCAGGUCGUCGGUUCGAAUCCGACCAUCGGCUCCA
This 75-nucleotide transfer RNA is filed under the name Firmicutes bacterium ADurb.Bin373. Its description in RNAcentral is "tRNA-Thr". It matches the Rfam family "tRNA". From Rfam's summary of the family: Transfer RNA (tRNA) molecules are approximately 80 nucleotides in length. The record is from RNAcentral. Lineage: Bacteria; Bacillati; Bacillota. RNAcentral also lists the same sequence under 3 other names.